Molecule: ribosomal RNA, 520 nt
Filed under: uncultured Glomus
Lineage: Eukaryota; Fungi; Glomeromycota; Glomeromycetes; Glomerales; Glomeraceae
Description: SSU rRNA
Rfam family: Eukaryotic small subunit ribosomal RNA
Source: RNAcentral
AGCAACCGCGGUAAUUCCAGCUCCAAUAGCGUAUAUUAAAGUUGUUGCAGUUAAAAAGCUCGUAGUUGAAUUUCGGGAUCAAUAUAUCGGUCGUGCCUUGGUACGUACUGGUAUCAUUGGUUUCUCCUUUCUGACGAACCAUGAUGUCAUUAAUUUGGUGUUAUGGGAAGUUAGGACUGUUACUUUGAAAAAAUUAGAGUGUUUAAAGCAGGCUUUAGCUUGAAUACAUUAGCAUGGAAUAAUGAAAUAGGACGUUCGAACCUAUUUUGUUGGUUUCUAGGAUCAACGUAAUGAUUAAUAGGGAUAGUUGGGGGGCAUUAGUAUUCAAUUGUCAGAGGUGAAAUUCUUGGAUUUAUUGAAGACUAACUACUGCGAAAGCAUUUGCCAAGGAUGUUUUCAUUAAUCAAGAACGAAAGUUAGGGGAUCGAAGACGAUCAGAUACCGUCGUAGUCUUAACCAUAAACUAUGCCGACUAGGGAUCGGAUGAUGUUAAUUUUUUAAUGACUCAUUCGGCGCCUUA